This is a non-coding RNA of Python bivittatus (Burmese python), 463 nucleotides long. NCBI's taxonomy places the organism in Eukaryota, Metazoa, Chordata, Lepidosauria, Squamata, Pythonidae. The record is from RefSeq and is a predicted model, not a curated record.
GAUCUUCCAUCUGUUCUUUGUAAUUGAGGUUGCUAGGGAAUGAACUUUCAAAUUGUUGCCUUGAUGCUGUAGAGGAGGAAAUCGGUGCUACUAGUUGGAACCAAGCCUGGGGAAAGAAGGAUUGAGAGAAGGAAAAACAACUUGGCCUUAGAACAUAAAACUGGAGCUUUUUUCCUACGUCAUCUCCCAAGAACUAACUAAUGCACAAGUACUGAUCUAGCUGUAGGGAUGAAGACUCUACUUUUAAAAUCACAUUGCCCCUUCUUUUUAAAAUAAAUCCUUAUAACUACUGUGAUUUUUCACUGAAAGAUAAAUUGUACACCACUGAGAACUUACUUUCUUUCCUAAUUAGCAUUUAAGAGAUUCAUAAAAUGGAAAAAGUAUGCUUAAUAAUCUCCAGUGUACUAUAACUUAACUUGGCCAGCCAUAGUCAGCAAUCAAUUAAUGCCACACUGUUGAGUGG